RNAcentral lists this long non-coding RNA (205 nucleotides) under Cricetulus griseus (Chinese hamster). Its description in RNAcentral is "lncRNA (ENSCGRG00000026352.1)". The record is from RNAcentral. Lineage: Eukaryota; Metazoa; Chordata; Mammalia; Rodentia; Cricetidae.
CCAAGUCUCGGUGCUGAAUCUUCCUGUUCUGUGCCCUUUGUGUCCUCACAGUUCCUGGUGGAGAACAGAUGUGCGGUCAAUGGACAGACCACAGGGCUGGCUGGAGCUUUAGGAUAAGACUUCACUACCAAUGCAGCAGUAUGGAGCGUGGAACCUAACAAAAGUUGGCUAGGUCAUUAGGGCAAGAUAAAUUAAUUAAUAGAUG